This 497-nucleotide ribosomal RNA is filed under the name uncultured bacterium. RNAcentral's name for it is "partial 16S ribosomal RNA". It matches the Rfam family "Bacterial small subunit ribosomal RNA", at positions 28 to 507 of the family's 1533-position model. The record is from RNAcentral.
GAUGAACGCUGGCGGCGUGCCUAAUACAUGCAAGUCGAGCGAACAGCUAAGGAGCUUGCUCCUUUCACGUUAGCGGCGGACGGGUGAGUAACACGUGGGUAACCUACCUAUAAGUCUGGAAUAACCCCGGGAAACCGGGUCUAAUGCCGGAUAACAUUUAGAACCGCAUGGUUCUCAAGUGAAAGAUGGUUUUGCUCUCACUUAUCGAUGGACCCGGGCCGUAUUAGCUAGUUGGUAAGGUAACGGCUUACCAAGGCAACGAUACGUAGCCGACCUGAGAGGGUGAUCGGCCACACGGGAAGUGAGACACGGACAAGAGUACUAAGAGAGGCAGCAGAAGGGAAUGGGACGCAGUGGGCGGAAGCAUGACGGAGCGAGGGCGCGUGAGUGGUAGAGGCGUUCGGAGCGUAAAACUGUGUUAUUGGGGAAAAACAAAUGUGUAAGGAGCAGAAGAGGUAGUGACGGUACCUAAUCAGAAAGCAACGGCUAACUACGUG